GGGCCGGGACAAAGCCUGGGCCGGGCCUGCGCUUCCGUUCGCUUGACUGGCUGCGCUUGUUUUCAGGGUUUUGGUCUGAAAACGGAUCUUACCUGCGCAGAGCAAAAUCGGUUGUAGAUUAUAUCCACGAAAAUUCCUUCUAUUAAAAUGAAUUUCAAGUCCCACCUACCCUGGAAGCAGAAAGAGAGAGAAGAGAGAGAGUAAAGAGAAAGAGAAAAGAAAGAGAAGUUGAAAAAGAGAAAGAAAACCAAGAAAGAAAGAGAAAAAAACCGAAAAUAAAUGGACAAGAAAGAAAAGUCACUGGGAUCCUGGACUACGGCACUGCUCCAGGCAGGCCUGGUUAUCCUGCUUGAGGCAGCAAUCCUCUUGAGCCUAGUGAAAUGCAACUGGCUGUACCUCAAUGAUGUUGCCCUGAGAUUCUGCCAGUCGAGGCCAACGUGCCAUGCAUCCCUGGAGCAUGAAACCCAGGAUGGGCCGCCUUCCAGCCUCCCACAGCUGUGAUGCAAGUUGAACACAUACAGAGAGACUGCAUCUGCACUGGGUGGUUUUCCUGAGCCUUGGGGAGCAGAAUGCAUGAAUCCCAGGUAUCUGCCGAUCUGUAUGUAACAAAUUCACUUCAUGUAACUUACUGUGUGUCCGUGAGAUUAUCUCUCACUCAACUCAGACACAUUGGCAACCAGUGUGCAGUGAACCUGCUUCACAAGCAAGGAUGUGGAGAAACUAUUUUCGUACAUUUUGUGGGAAUCUGAAAUACUGCGGUCAGUAUGGAAAGCAGUAUCAUGGGAAACUUCCUCAACUCAAGAUCACCUACCAAUCCUUACAGAAUCAGAAUCAUCAUACAAACUGGUGAAAGCAUAGUUUCCCCUAGAGGUUGGGAUGAGGGCAAGAAUGUCCCCUCUUAUCACUACUAUUCCACACAAUAUGAAAGGUUCCAGCCAGUGAAAUAAAGGAAAAAGAAAUAAAAGUGACAGGCUGGGUGUGGUGUCUGAGGCCUGUAAUCACAGUGCUUUGGGAGGCUGAGGAAGGAGGGUGGCCUGAGGACAGGACAAAAAAAAUAGUGUACCAACAGAAAAUAUGUUGGUUGUGCAGGCUAAUACCUUUCCCAAAGGAAGGUAGCUACAUCCCUAUGACCUGUGUUACUGGAUAUAUCAAAAGGGAGUUUGCAAAUGUGGUCUAGAUAAGGAUCUUUAGAUAGACAUCCUGAAUUAUAUGGUCAAAGUGAUAGAAUCACAAGGUUCAAUAUCAGAAGGGUGCAGGUGGAUGCGAAGGGACAGAGACAGUGGUGAUGUGUUGAAAAUAGAGGGAUAAAGAGAUUUUUUUUCUCACCUUUAAAGAUGGAGGAAGUGGACCAUGAGUCAAAGGAUGUAAGUGGCCUCUGGAACCUACAAAGGGUAAGGAAACAAAUUCUCCCCUGGAGAUUAAUGAAGAAUCACAGAACUAUGGACCCAUAUUAGAUAUGUGACUUACAGAAUUAUAAAAGAAUAAAUUUUUCUUGUUUUAAGCCAAUCACUGUGUAUAGCAAUAGGAAACUGAUGAAAUGAUUUUAUGUAGAAAAUUCCAAAAAAAUCUACAAAAAUCUCUAGAACAAGAAAAAUGUAAAGGUAGCAAAGUAUAAGGUCAACCUACAAAAAUAUCGUAUAUUUCAUCAGCCAGGCAUGGUGGCUCGUGCCUGUAAUCCCAGCACUUUGGGAGGCCAAGGCAGGCAGAUCACUCAAGCUCAGGAGUUUGAGACCAGGCUGGGUAACAUGGUGAAACCCCAUCUCUACAAAACACAAAAAUUUAACAGGCCAUGGUGGCACAUGCCUGCAGUGCCAGCUACUGGGGAAGCUGAGGUGGGAGGAUGACUUAAGCCUGC
Molecule: long non-coding RNA, 1855 nt
Filed under: Homo sapiens (human)
Lineage: Eukaryota; Metazoa; Chordata; Mammalia; Primates; Hominidae
Description: non-protein coding ZNF528-AS1:5
Source: RNAcentral